ACUUGGAACAAAUCAAUGUUUUCUACCUUCUCUUCCGACAACAAAGGGCGUUGUCAAGAAAAAUCAAAACUACGACGAUCCUCCACCACAAAUCUGUCUUAUCCGCUCGUACCACAGCAAACUAGAAUUUGCCUCUAAGCCUGCUUCACUGAAUUCUAUUGCAGAUUGAAGGUAUGCUCCCAUAGAUUCAGUUAAUAAAGCGGAGAAUGUAUUGCUGCCUAGAGUGUAUGCUUUAAGAUUUAAGACGAGAUUCAACUGCCUAGGUGUGAAAGAAUCAAGCAUUCUGUAAUCAAUUGGUUCAAAUUAUACAAGGUAAUUUUCUAAAGAUAGGCCUUGAAGGAAUGGGAGGUUCGAAGUAUAAAUCGUUACACAAUUUAUCUACCUAGAUUAGAAACAAAACGAAUUUUUUGUACAAUUUCAACUAUGUAGAAAUGCUCAAGCCCAAGCGCCUCCCGUGGUAUGGAACAAGCAGAAAACCUGGGCGGCUUGUAAGAAAAGCAUCAUCCCUGCAUAUAAAAAUGGUAUAACCAGCCACAGUUUUGAACUGUGUUUUUCCCAAAACUCGGCUAAAAGAACUCUCCAUUUGCUUCUGUAGUACUUCUGUGCUUCGUCUAUGGCUUUCUCUACAGGGUCAAAUGUAUUUUUCCCGAUUGAUUUACACAUACAGUUCCACAUCCGAGCCACCUCAGCAUCGCUAUCCAUUUGACAAUUAAGAAUGCCACACCUCUGGAGCAGAGCAACAUCCCCCUCCGUACGAAUCAGUCGGCCCAUUAAAAAUGUGUAGCGUGUGAGAGGCUUUUGCUUCUCUUUCAGAUUGAGUUCAAAUGCCACUAAGUUUCUUAGCACAACCUCUGUAAAAUCAUUAAUAUUGAUUUUAGAUGGAAUGUAUCCAGCUGUUGUAGUAGAUACCAUCUUGCUGAGCUUAAUAACGCAGCCUUGUUGAAGAGGAUUAGACUGAUGUUGAGGUGAAGCUGUAGUAACAUAAUGAUAGAGAUAGUCCAGAAGAUGUCCUGUGCUGUUCCUGUCUGGUGGCUGUGGAAGAUAAUUCUCCUCACGGAUAAAAGGAUUGAAAUGCAAGCAAGCAUCCUGUAAUCAAGGGUUCAAACUAUUUAAGCGUACAAGAUAGUAAACAACGUGAGCCAAAACAUAAAGGAACUUCCUCUUGUUCUUCAUCAGCUGUACAUUUACAAGGGAAAGCUGCCAUUCAACAACACCAGCUGUUCAUUCGUGUUUUUCCUCCAGCCUGCAAACGGUACCUUAUACAGCAACUACUUCUCAGAAUACAAUUCAAACAAAUGGGAUUGCAAGGAGAAGAAUAAUCCUAGAGAUGCCUGCAGGUCUCUCCUUCGAGCAGGAAUGGGUGCCGACAUAAAUUGUUAUAAACCUCACACUUUAUCAGAUAGUUUAUAUCAAAAGCUUUUACCAAGAGUCUCAUUAAAUUGGGGAAGAAUGCUUUGUAGGAGUUUACAGGGAUGCUUGCAAGGAAAAGAUUCAGCUAGAAAGGAAACAGAACAUAAAAAUGUUAAACAAAAAUAUGUGUGGAGAAUGAAAUUGAGCUCCUGUUGGACAUAAAAAUAAACAAACUGCAUGCUUGGUGUACAGAAUCUAACAUACCCUAAUUGGUCUACAUUUGUAUAGAUGGAUUCUCUCUGAAUGACUGUUUGAAGGGUAAAUUGAAGAUUCUGAAACUAUUUUAUUGA
This is an RNA transcript of Cryptomeria japonica (Japanese cedar), 1700 nucleotides long. RefSeq lists it as uncharacterized. The record is from RefSeq and is a predicted model, not a curated record. The transcript has 5 exons. NCBI's taxonomy places the organism in Eukaryota, Viridiplantae, Streptophyta, Pinopsida, Cupressales, Cupressaceae.